AGCAGCCGCGGUAAUUCCAGCUCCAAUAGCGUAUAUUAAAGUUGUUGCAGUUAAAAAGCUCGUAGUUGAACUUCGGGGUUUACCCAUUGGUCAGGCUUAAUUGUCUGUACUGGUGAGAUGAAUCUCUACCUUCUGAGGAACUUUCAUGCCAUUUAGUUGGUGUGAUAGGAAAUCAGGACUGUUACUUUGAAAAAUUAGAGUGUUUAAAGCAGACUAACGUCUGAAUACAUUAGCAUGGAAUAAUGAAAUAGGACGGAUUGGUUCUAUUUCGUUGGUUUCUAGGAUCACCGUAAUGAUUAAUAGGGAUAGUUGGGGGCAUUAGUAUUCAAUUGUCAGAGGUGAAAUUCUUGGAUUUAUUGAAGACUAACUAUUGCGAAAGCAUUUGCCAAGGAUGUUUUCAUUAAUCAAGAACGAAAGUUAGGGGAUCGAAGACGAUCAGAUACCGUCGUAGUCUUAACCAUAAACUAUGCCGACUAGGGAUCGGACGAAGUUAAUUUAUAAUGACGCGUUCGGCACCUUA
RNAcentral lists this ribosomal RNA (520 nucleotides) under uncultured Diversispora. RNAcentral describes it as "SSU rRNA". It matches the Rfam family "Eukaryotic small subunit ribosomal RNA", at positions 569 to 1090 of the family's 1831-position model. Lineage: Eukaryota; Fungi; Glomeromycota; Glomeromycetes; Diversisporales; Diversisporaceae. The record is from RNAcentral.